RNAcentral lists this ribosomal RNA (630 nucleotides) under Schizoxylon sp. 2-MW-2004. RNAcentral describes it as "LSU rRNA". It matches the Rfam family "Eukaryotic large subunit ribosomal RNA", at positions 1 to 647 of the family's 3401-position model. The record is from RNAcentral. Lineage: Eukaryota; Fungi; Ascomycota; Lecanoromycetes; Ostropales; Stictidaceae.
GAUUGACCUCGGAUCAGUAGGGAUACCCGCUGAACUUAAGCAUAUCAAUAAGCGGAGGAAAAGAAACCACAGGGAUUGCCUCAGUAACGGCGAGUGAAGCGGCAACAGCUCAAAUUUGAAAUCUGGCGCUUUUGUGCCCGAGUUGUAAUUUGUAGAGGAUGUUUCGGGUGCGGCACCGUUCUAAGUUCCUUGGAACAGGGCGUCAUAGAGGGUGAGAAUCCCGUACGUGACCGGUCGCCAAACUCAUGUGAAACUCCUUCGACGAGUCGAGUUGUUUGGGAAUGCAGCUCAAAAUGGGAGGUAUAUUUCUUCUAAAGCUAAAUACCGGCCAGAGACCGAUAGCGCACAAGUAGAGUGAUCGAAAGAUGAAAAGCACUUUGGAAAGAGAGUUAAAAAGUACGUGAAAUUGUUGAAAGGGAAGCGCUUGCAAUCAGACUCGCUUUGGGGUGAUCAACCGUUCUUCGGGACGGUGCACUCUCCCCCGGGCGGGCCAGCAUCGGUUUGGGCGGUUGGAUAAAACCUCCAGGAAUGUAGCUCCUCUCGGGGAGUGUUAUAGCCUGGGUAUAAUGCAAUCAGCCUGGACCGAGGACCGCGCUUUUGCUAGAUGCUGGCGUUAAUGGUUGUAAGCGA